AGUCGAACGGUAACGCGGGGCAACCUGGCGACGAGUGGCGAACGGGCGAGUAAUACAUCGGAACGUGCCCAGUAGUGGGGGAUAGCCCGGCGAAAGCCGGAUUAAUACCGCAUACGACCUACGGGUGAAAGCGGGGGAUCGCAAGACCUCGCGCUAUUGGAGCGGCCGAUGUCAGAUUAGCUAGUUGGUGGGGUAAAAGCCUACCAAGGCGACGAUCUGUAGCUGGUCUGAGAGGACGACCAGCCACACUGGGACUGAGACACGGCCCAGACUCCUACGGGAGGCAGCAGUGGGGAAUUUUGGACAAUGGGGGCAACCCUGAUCCAGCCAUGCCGCGUGCGGGAAGAAGGCCUUCGGGUUGUAAACCGCUUUUGUCGGGGAAGAAACGGUCUGCGCUAAUACCGCGGACUAAUGACGGUACCCGAAGAAUAAGCACCGGCUAACUACGUGCCAGCAGCCGCGGUAAUACGUAGGGUGCAAGCGUUAAUCGGAAUUACUGGGCGUAAAGCGUGCGCAGGCGGCUUUGCAAGACAGAUGUGAAAUCCCCGGGCUUAACCUGGGAACUGCAUUUGUGACUGCAUGGCUGGAGUGCGGCAGAGGGGGAUGGAAUUCCGCGUGUAGCAGUGAAAUGCGUAGAUAUGCGGAGGAACACCGAUGGCGAAGGCAAUCCCCUGG
Molecule: ribosomal RNA, 675 nt
Filed under: uncultured Piscinibacter sp.
Lineage: Bacteria; Pseudomonadati; Pseudomonadota; Betaproteobacteria; Burkholderiales; Sphaerotilaceae
Description: bacterial SSU rRNA
Rfam family: Bacterial small subunit ribosomal RNA
Source: RNAcentral